GCCAAUACACUGGUGAAAUUGGAAAUACAUGCAGCCAAUAUAUCACAGUUUGUUUCAAAGGGUUUAUACAUCUUAUAUUAAUAUCUGUAAAGACACUGCUGUAAUUGGUGGGAUUACAAAAACCUGGGCCCACCCAUAAUGCAAAAUUCACUUUCUCAGAAUGCACAUACAACCCACUCACUGACACAGAGAAGGCUUUACGAUCCAAAAACACAUGAUCUAUCUACACAAUGUAUUAGUGUUUAUACCUAAACAAGGAGUGGUAGACGAGAGUGGAAACUUUAGAACCAACUUGAAAACGUGGUUUUUGGAGAAAGUUAAAGGACCACUAUAAACACACAGACCACUUCAGCUCAUUGAAGUGGUCUGGGUGCCAGGUCCCCCUAGUUACACUUCAGGGUUAAUCAAGCCUCUAGUGGCUGUCUCCCUGACAGCUCCUAGAGGCGCUUCAGCGAUUUACACUCAGUAAAUCGCACUUAUUACUUGCUGGACGUCG
Non-coding RNA from Pelobates cultripes (western spadefoot toad), 496 nucleotides. The record is from the annotation of a GenBank genome assembly. Lineage: Eukaryota; Metazoa; Chordata; Amphibia; Anura; Pelobatidae.